This is a long non-coding RNA of Oreochromis niloticus (Nile tilapia), 1821 nucleotides long. NCBI's taxonomy places the organism in Eukaryota, Metazoa, Chordata, Actinopteri, Cichliformes, Cichlidae. The record is from Ensembl.
AUGGAGGAAGAGGAUGGAGCAGGAUCUGCAGCAUCCAGCUGUGUGUCUGUGAGGAGUGACCGGUCCAAAGGAACACCUCUAUGGUUCAGUAAUGAACCUGCAGCAACAAUAGCUUCUGCACAGUGUGGAGAAAGAUCCAGAAGCAGAGCUGGACUGCAGACAGCCAGUCAGAGCAGCUGUGUACAAAGUAAGACUGAACAUCUGUCUGCUGAUGGACUCAUUUCUGAAAACUGGACUUCUUGUGUUGUUCAGACAUUGAAGAGUUUUCUUUCUCUUUCUUUCAGCAGAUGUUGGUCUGCAGGAGGUUUUAGAUGAACAUAAGAUCAGUCUGAGGAAGAGAUGUGAACAUGUGACUGAAGGAAGUGAUGAAACAGGAAGUAGAACCCUCCUCAACAGGAUCUACACUGAGCUCUACAUCACAGAGGGAUAGAGUGAAGAGGUUCUUACGCAACAUGAGGUGAGGCAGCUGGAGACAGCUUCCAAGAUGGACGCCCUCCAUGACGCUCCAAUCAGGUGCCAGGACAUCUUUAAAGCCUUCCCUGACCAACAGAGACCCAUCAGAGUGGUUCUGACCAACGGCGUGGCUGGUGUUGGAAAAACCUUCUCAGUGCAGAAGUUCACUCUGGACUGGUGUUAAGGUUCGUAAUUGGUGGAGAGUACAAAGGCAAGACAGUCCAGAAGGUUUGGGUCAAAGCGAUCUUUUAUUGAAGUACACGCGCGGGAAGACAGUCACUGCAUACAUCAGCAAGGGUCUUCGCCCAAAUUAUACUUCAGACUGCUUUUAUAGCAUCAGGGUAUUAUGACGCCCCUUCUUGCGUUUACAAGCACAUAUUUUGCAUGUACAGAACAUUCAUGUAUUUUAAGAAUAAACUGCAGCAUAGUGGUUCCUCAUUUUGGCAUCUUUUCCAAAGAAGGCAAUAAACUCGGGCCUCUGUGGUCCCCAGGGGCUGGUCCUUGCCACGCGUCACCUGUUGUCAAGAAAGCUCUAGUGCAGCAUGUUAACCAAAUACAUUCAGGCCUGUACUUAAGUCUGGUUCUAAGUUAUAUGUAAUAUAUGUAUAUAUAUGUGAUGUGUAAGCAUGUGUGCUAUCUUUCUUAAGCUCCCGGCUUCUUAACCAAUGGGUCACCCAGACAUUCACGCUGGAUGCAGCUUGCGACCUUUAUUACCUGGGAAGGCUUCAACUCCUUAUGAGCACAUAACUGCAAUGUGUAUAAAGAUAUAACAAUGUAUAAAUGAUUAUGACUGCACCUGUGAGAGAUUAAUAUGGUGUCAGUAUGUUUAAAUGUCUCAAGGCAAUCUUAAAGCUGUAUGCAGUAUGGUUAAUGCUAUGAAAUAUAUGUUGUGGCAAUGAAGCAAUUUUUUCUUAUCUCGAUACUGGGCAGAGGGCUUGGAGAACCAACAUGUUAGUGUGGUGGUUCUGCUUUCAUUCAGGGAGCUGAACCUGAUCAGAGAUGAGCAGUACAGUCUUCUGGAGCUGCUCCAUGUUUUCCAUCCAACAUUACAGAAGGUCACAGCAGAGAAGCUGGCUGUCUCUCAGCUUUUGUUCAUCUUUGACGGCCUGGAUGAAAGCAGACUUUCAUUGGAUUUCACCAACAGGAAGCUGCUGUCUGAUGUCACACAGAAGUCAUCAGUCAGCCAGCUGCUGACAAACCUCAUCCAGGGGAAUCUGCUUCCCUCGGCUCUCGUCUGGAUAACUUCCCGACCCGCAGCAGCCAAUCAGAUCCCUCCUACAUGUGUUGACAGGCUAACAGUAGUACGAGGCUUCACUGACGCCCAGAAGGAGGAGUACUUCGGGAGGAGAUUCAGUGAUGAAGAGCUGU